UGGGGAAUAUUGCACAAUGGGCGCAAGCCUGAUGCAGCCAUGCCGCGUGUGUGAAGAAGGCCUUCGGGUUGUAAAGCACUUUCAGCGGGGAGGAAGGCGGUGAGGUUAAUAACCUCAUCGAUUGACGUUACCCGCAGAAGUAGCACCGGCUAACUCCGUGCCAGCAGCCGCGGUAAUACGGAGGGUGCAAGCGUUAAUCUGAAUUACUGGGCGUAAAGCGCACGCAGGCGGUCUGUCAAGUCGGAUGUGAAAUCCCCGGGCUCAACCUGGGAACUGCAUUCGAAACUGGCAGGCUAGAGUCUUGUAGAGGGGGGUAGAAUUCCAGGUGUAGCGGUGAAAUGCGUAGAGAUCUGGAGGACUACCGGUGGCGAAGGCGGCCCCCUGGACAAAGACUGACGCUCAGGUGCGAAAGCGUGGGGAGCAAACAGG
Molecule: ribosomal RNA, 429 nt
Filed under: Chloroflexota bacterium
Lineage: Bacteria; Bacillati; Chloroflexota
Description: Chloroflexi bacterium partial 16S ribosomal RNA
Rfam family: Bacterial small subunit ribosomal RNA
Source: RNAcentral